UCUCCUGCUCUGGACAGUUCCUGACAUGGACACAGGUGUCAGCAGAGUGCACUGUGGUCAGAUAGAAAAGAACUACUCAGCUUUCGCUGGAGCAUACAGCAGCUAAUCAGUACUGGAAGGAUUAAGAUUUCUUAAUGGAAGUAAUUUACAAAGCUGUUUAACUUUCUGGCACCAGUUCAUUAAAAUAAAAAAAGGUUUCCACCGGAACACACCUUUAAAAGGAGAUGGCAACCACUUAGAGCUCCGCUGGUCUAUAGUAAGUAUAUAAAAGCAGUCUCCAAACUGCAGAUCUCCAGCUGUUGCAAAACUACAACUCCCAGCAUGCCCUGACAGCCAACGGCUGUCAGGGCAUGCUGAGAGUUGUAGUUUUGCAACAGUUGGAGGUCCACAGUUUGGAGAUCACUGGUUUAGACAACAAGGCCUGUAAACCUAGUUGAGGCCUAUGUAAACAUUAGACAAAACCAGGCCCACAUGGGGCUAUACACUUGAUAUAGCCACAAAAAGGGUCUCUAGUAAUUAGUGGUUUAUAUCAGGAAAAACCAGCGCUCACAGGGUCUCAAACGGACGCUAGCCAUGGAAAGCGGAGCAGUGUCCAUAGCAACCCCAUCAGAGUUAGAGUUUCCUUGCGGCCAUUUUUAACUGGAAGAUGACAAGUGUGCAGCAAUAUGUCCAGAGAACAUCAGCAGAACUGUUCCACUCCGUGAUCAUAUCUUCUACCCGGGAUACAUAAAGUAGUGAUAGAAGGACUCCAAGGAACUAGAAGAAAAGUUCAAACUCUGAUGGACUUUAGGCUCCAACACGAUCAUGGGGCCCAGCAACAACCAAGCCCUUGAGGUCCACCAGUAGAGAAUGGCGCCUGAAGGAGACAGUGGGGAGAUCCAUGGUCUGGUAUAAAAGAGAAACACUCUUAUUGAUCUGUGGAUGGAUGAGGUGCUCCCCUAUAAAAGGCAUUACUAAAGACCAGAAGCAGUGGGCUGGUGCCAAGGGUAAGAGGACUGGUAUGGCAGAGCAGAAUGGUCUAGGAAUGCUGAACAAAGAAAUACGUGCCCUCCAGCCAUAUAGGUGACACCUUUAGAUUGCCAGAAGAGACUGGAGAUAUUAUUGCGGACACCACAACCAGUCCUGGCAUCAAAAGGCGCAUAUUGCUGAACAUAGU
This is a long non-coding RNA of Hyla sarda, 1156 nucleotides long. RefSeq lists it as uncharacterized. The record is from RefSeq and is a predicted model, not a curated record. The transcript has 5 exons. Lineage: Eukaryota; Metazoa; Chordata; Amphibia; Anura; Hylidae.